This 497-nucleotide ribosomal RNA is filed under the name uncultured bacterium. RNAcentral describes it as "partial 16S ribosomal RNA". It matches the Rfam family "Bacterial small subunit ribosomal RNA", at positions 28 to 507 of the family's 1533-position model. The record is from RNAcentral.
GAUGAACGCUGGCGGCGUGCCUAAUACAUGCAAGUCGAGCGAACAGACGAGGAGCUUGCUCCUCUGACGUUAGCGGCGGACGGGUGAGUAACACGUGGAUAACCUACCUAUAAGACUGGGAUAACUUCGGGAAACCGGAGCUAAUACCGGAUAAUAUAUUGAACCGCAUGGUUCAAUAGUGAAAUACGGUUUUGCUGUCACUUAUAGAUGGAUCCGCGCCGCAUUAGCUAGUUGGUAAGGUAACGGCUUACCAAGGCAACGAUGCGUAGCCGACCUGAGAGGGUGAUCGGCCACAUGGGAACUGAAACACGGUCCAGACUCCUACGGGAGGCAGCAGUAGGGAAUCUUCCGCAAUGGGCGAAAGCCUGACGGAGCAACGCCGAGUGAGUGAUGAAGGUCUUCGGAUCGUAAAACUCUGUUAUUAGGGAAGAACAAAUGUGUAAGUAACUAUGCACGUCUUGACGGUACCUAAUCAGAAAGCCACGGCUAACUACGUG